Molecule: ribosomal RNA, 465 nt
Filed under: uncultured bacterium
Lineage: Bacteria
Description: bacterial SSU rRNA
Rfam family: Bacterial small subunit ribosomal RNA
Source: RNAcentral
CGAUUAGAGUUUGAUCCUGGCUCAGGACGAACGCUGGCGGCGUGCCUAACACAUGCAAGUCUGGGAGAACGAGGUAGCAAUAUCUUUAGUAAACCGGCGCACGGGUGAGUAAUCUGUAGGUAACCUGCCCUUUGGUCUGGGAUAACCCCGCGAAAGCGGUGCUAAUACCGGAUGAUGCAGCGGCUCCGCAUGGAGAUGUUGUUAAAGCCUUCGGGCGCCAAUGGAUGGGCCUGCAUCCCAUUAGGUAGUUGGUGAGGUAACGGCUCACCAAGCCUACGAUGGGUAGCUGAUCUGAGAGGAUGAUCAGCCACACUGGAACUGAGACACGGUCCAGACUCCUACGGGAGGCAGCAGUGAGGAAUAUUGCGCAAUGGACGAAAGUCUGACGCAGCGACGCCGCGUGAAGGAUGAAGGCCCUUUGGGUCGUAAACUUCUGUAGAGAGGGAAGAAUGUGGYGCUUCAGCA